RNAcentral lists this ribosomal RNA (488 nucleotides) under uncultured bacterium. RNAcentral describes it as "partial 16S ribosomal RNA". It matches the Rfam family "Bacterial small subunit ribosomal RNA", at positions 29 to 507 of the family's 1533-position model. The record is from RNAcentral.
ACGAACGCUGGCGGCGUGCUUAACACAUGCAAGUCGAACGGUGAAGGGAUCAGCUUGCUGGUUCUGGAUGAGUGGCGAACGGGUGAGUAACACGUGAGUAACCUGCCCCCUUCUUCUGGAUAACCGCAUGAAAGUGUGGCUAAUACGGGAUAUUCUGCGCCUGCUGCAUGGUGGGUGUGGGAAAGAUAUUGUUUCGGUGGGGGAUGGGCUCGCGGCCUAUCAGCUUGUUGGUGGGGUGAUGGCCUACCAAGGCGGUGACGGGUAGCCGGCCUGAGAGGGUGGACGGUCACACUGGGACUGAGACACGGCCCAGACUCCUACGGGAGGCAGCAGUGGGGAAGAUUGCACAAUGGGCGCAAGCCUGAUGCAGCGACGCCGCGUGAGGGAUGGAGGCCUUCGGGUUGUGAACCUCUUUCGCCAGUGAAGCAGGCCUGUCCCUUGUGGGUGGGUUGACGGUAGCUGGAUAAGAAGCGCCGGCUAACUACGUG